This 253-nucleotide ribosomal RNA is filed under the name uncultured bacterium. Its description in RNAcentral is "partial 16S ribosomal RNA". It matches the Rfam family "Bacterial small subunit ribosomal RNA", at positions 524 to 776 of the family's 1533-position model. The record is from RNAcentral.
UACGGGGGGGGCAAGCGUUGUUCGGAAUUACUGGGCGUAAAGGGUUCGUAGGUGGCUUGCUAAGUCAGACGUGAAAUCCCUCAGCUUAACUGGGGAACUGCGUCUGAUACUGGCGAGCUUGAGUGCAGGAGAGGAACGCAGAAUUCCAGGUGUAGCGGUGAAAUGCGUAGAUAUCUGGAGGAAUACCGGUGGCUAAGGCGGCGUUCUGGACUGCAACUGACACUGAUGAACGAAAGCCAGGGGAGCAAACGGG